RNAcentral lists this long non-coding RNA (288 nucleotides) under Capsicum annuum. RNAcentral describes it as "long non-coding RNA (CANN_LNC018392)". Lineage: Eukaryota; Viridiplantae; Streptophyta; Magnoliopsida; Solanales; Solanaceae. The record is from RNAcentral.
CUGAAUAUCAGAAGCUUUUAGCGACUAGGUUGAAGGAGCAAAGGGAAAGGCGAAGUGAGAGUUUGGCGAAGAAGAGGUCUAGACUUUCUGCCGCUUCCAAGCCAUCUAUUGCCGCGUAAGAUCAUUGAGAAGCAGCACUCCGUGAUAUGUCUUUUAUAGCUAUUGCUGGAUGUGGCUCUUUUGGUAGCUUUUAAUGUGCUGAGAUGAUGAGUAGUGUAUCGUUUACUAUGUGUGAUCUUUCUGAUCAAAGAUUUUGGUUGUUUAGUACUUGCUGAAUGAAAUCCUCCU